AAGCGAGCGAGCAGCUGUGUAGCGAUGCCUGUGACCUAACCCGUCUCCCCCGCGAACCCCGCCUCCUCUCCUGCCGCCGCCGCCGCGCCCCCUGCUCCCCUUCUACAUGCUCGCCGCUGCCCCGCCUCGAGCCAGCCGCCGUUCGGUAAAAACCUAACCUCCACACCCACGCCCCCACCAGACCCUCCCUCCUCUUCCUCGACCUCCCUCCUAGCUGCCGCCGCCUCCCCUCCGCGGUCAACCUCCUUGUUGCCGGUGAUGCUCCAGCGCCUUGGCCCGGUCGCCUCUGUCUCCUGCCGUGCUCUCUCGUGCUGCUGUGCCUCCUAGACGACGCUCGCAUGCCUCGGAUGCGCCCCCUUCUAUCCCGAGCUCCAGAUCGAUGGCUGCAGCGGCGAGAUGAAAUUGCAACACCUGGUACCGAGACCAUGCUGGGAUUUUCUGAUCAUGUCAGGAGCUUUGUAAAUCCUGUAUGGACGUCUUCUUUGAGUGGAAAUUAUUCGAAUACAACAUCACGGACAGGAAAACAGUUGGACAUCAGCCAUGAAAAGGUUCGAGGUCUUUCACGGAGUUUCCUACCAGCUAUUCAUCUAGAGCACUAUCCUUGUGAAAAUUUCUCAUUUUCUCCUCCACCUAUUGAUAGGAGACGCACUCGACAAGGGUCAUGUCCUGAUUGUUAUGUGCCUGUUGACUAGACCCUGGCAUUGAUGCCAGCUGCUAAUCUGUCCGAAGACAAUUACAAUUUGGUACUCAUAGGUCCAAUAGUGGUUCUUUGUUUUGUGGUUAUCCAUCCCUGGAACAACGAGAUAUGUCUUAUAUGACAUAAAAGACUCGAUGACAGUACAUUGUGGAUCUGUGAGGGGGGAAGAUACAUGGUCUCGAUACUGCAUUCGAUGUAGACGAAGCUGGUCUGUCUGAGAUUUGCUUCUGCUAUUUUCGGUUCCAAAACUAUUACUUCAUCGGCUCUUUCCUAAUGUGCGGUAUUCACUCUAGAUCGAUGGGAAACUUAAACUUGUGAAGGAUCCUUAUCAGCUGUUAAAGAGAUUCUUGUGGAGGAAAAAUGUGCGCUUCACUAUUUCCAGGUAUUAUAGACGCUUUGAUGUCUUUGAGGAAGCUGAGGCCAACAAGGCUGGAAGUAUGAUAAUGCUUCAAUCGAUAACCAAAUGAAGUUCUACAAGACAGAGGGUUUAACCCAUUAUUCAUCAGCUAAGCUCCUUAUUACAAGCGGCAAAUGGUUCUUCCUACUGAAUUCUGAUAUAGAAAUAUUUCUCCUGAGAACAUAAGGGAUACAUUUAUCUUGAACAGAUGUCCUUGAGGGUUGUGUAAUUAUAGGAGAGCCCAUACCCAUCACCAAUCUCUUCACACGCCUUUGGUUCAAUGAAGUUGAUCGUCCCACCUCAAGAGAUCAGCUAAGCUUUAGCACAACGAGGGAUAAAAUAAGAUCAAGAGUUCUUUUUGACAACUAAAUAAGAUCAGGAGUUAAUUGGACUGCAGACAUGUUCCUGGAUUGUGGAAGGCGUGAAUUUGUUCAGGUACUUUUGAGUUAAUGCUUUGUGCGGCACAUCAUUCCAUUUGCAACCUGAAGUACUACUGCAACUUGGUACCGAGUGUAGACUUUAUCAAAUUACACAAAAAAAAUCCAGCAUAACAAUGGAUCUUCGCAUCUAAAUAGGGAGCUGUUUGAAAACAACAUCAGUGGAUCGAUGAUUUUUUUGGAAAGAACACAAUGUCAGGAUCUUUGACAGAAUAGAAUUUUACUGGAGUUUGAGGCUAUAUUAUUGAUGAGGUAUCCUGGAGAGCUGCAAGUUGCUUCUCUUGUUUUGAAUCAUGUUCUUGUUGUUUUCUCCCUGCUGAGAGUGUAUUAGUGUACUCAUCAUGAUCUCUGAGGCUAUGCUUACAGUUGCAUCAUUGUUUUCUUGAAAAUUGACCCUCUAAAUUCAUGUUCUCUUAUAACUGAUCCUGUAAAAUCUUCCCUGUAUUUUAAUGAAGUUUCACGUCAUGCCUUU
Molecule: ribosomal RNA, 2003 nt
Filed under: Triticum aestivum (bread wheat)
Lineage: Eukaryota; Viridiplantae; Streptophyta; Magnoliopsida; Poales; Poaceae
Description: partial small subunit ribosomal RNA
Source: RNAcentral